CUCAACAAUGGGACCCCACGGAACUUAAAAGCUCUGUGCAGCCAAGGGCACCAUUGUUUGAGUGAAGAAACAGCUUACAGAAGGGGAAAAAAUCUUUGCCAUCUACAUCUGAAGGAGGUAUAUGUUCAGACAACACAGCAAAUUGCAUCAUGACUUCAUGUGUCCCUUCAAGGCACUUGGUGACUCUCAGAGAGAGGCUGCUUCUUCAGUCUCUUAACUGGAGACACAGAAAAACAUGGAAUGGCUGCUCACCUGGAUGGAGGAAGAACUCCCAGCAGGAAAGUCACCUGGAUAACAUCAGCUGAGGCCUCAUUAGAACCAGUGAUCAUGACCCCCUGUACAGGAGGGUCCGAGGAGAGACAGGAAGAGCCCAAGCCAGCACACUCGGGUCAUAGAGGGAAGAAGUCUGCAUUUUACUGGAUCUCUUUGCUGCCUUUCUUUUCUUCCUGAAUCCAGAGACAGGAACCCCGAGAGGUUGUGGCAAGAAUGGCAUCUUCAGUCCUCCUCAAGCCAGCUCAUGACAACAUCAAUAUCAAUAUUUUUCAGAGGACACACAGAUGAAAUGUUUCCUUUGAAAUUAAAUAUUUUCUUCCUGGGACAAUUUCCCUUUGGGUAUUGGGAGAGCUCAGUUUGCAGUCCGUCAUCCAGGGAAGCCUGGGCAGGAACUCAAGGCAGGAACCUGGAGGCAGGAGCUAAAGCAGCGAAUGUGGAGGAAGACCUUGUAUGGUGCUGGUUGUUGGUGGCACACGCCUUUAAUCCCAGCACUCGGGAGGCAGAGGCAGGUGGAUCUCUGUGAGUUCGAGGCCAGCCUGGUCUACAGAGCGAGUUCCAGGACAGGCUCCAAAGCAAUACAGAGAAACCCUGUCUCGAAAAAAAGGAAAAAAAAAAAAAAAAAGACUCGGUAUAGUUUGUUUCACUGCUCAUGUUUAGCUACCUCUUCUCUACAGCUUAGGCCCACCUGCCUCUGGAUUGCGCCACUCUCAGUGGGCUGAGCCCUCCUACAACAACUAGCGAUCAAGAACAUGCCCCACAGACAUGCCCACAGUCUAAUCAGACAGAGGCAAAUCCCCAGUGGAGGUUCCCUCUUCCCAGCAUUCCUUCAAAGGACCAUGAAUGAAAGGCUUGGUCACCAGCUUUUGGUGCCACCGGGAGUGACUGGAACCUUUAGGAGGUGGGAUCUAAUGGAGAGGCUGAACUGAACUGGAACCCAGAUGCAGAGAAGGACGAGUGAAGAGCACAGGGGUCCAGACCAGGCUAGUGAAACCCACAGAAACAGCUGACCUGAAUAUCCGGAAACUCUUGCUCCCCAGACUGAUAGCUGGAAUACCAGCAUGGGACUGAUCCAGACCCCAGGAACAUGGAUUUCUGCAUGGUCACCUUCCCUUGAAGUGAGGUGAUGGGUACCAGGAGGCCAAUAAGUUGAUGGAACAAUAAUGAUACCGCUUCUUGUUGUCAUCACUGUAAACUCCGUGAUAAGGGCCCAGAGGAACACGACCCUUGGAAUCUCUGAUGCUGGAAGCCUGGACACUUCCUCUGGCUUUGGCUGGGCUGUCUGCCAGGGUCAGAAAGCAUGCAGCUUCAGCCAGUUCUUGAGGCACGGACUCUGUGAUCUGUUUUCUGACUUACCUUCAUGCAGUAGAAUUAGAAUGCAGUUGCCUCAACCUUUUUGCCCUCCAAAUCCUUAGUCCCUGGCCAAGGAUCACUCACUUGAAC
RNAcentral lists this long non-coding RNA (1713 nucleotides) under Cricetulus griseus (Chinese hamster). RNAcentral describes it as "lncRNA (ENSCGRG00015029530.1)". The record is from RNAcentral. Lineage: Eukaryota; Metazoa; Chordata; Mammalia; Rodentia; Cricetidae.